ACCAUGCAAGUCGAGCGGUAACAGAUCCAGCUUGCUGGAUGCUGACGAGCGGCGGACGGGUGAGUAAUGCAUAGGAAUCUGCCCGAUAGUGGGGGAUAACCUGGGGAAACCCAGGCUAAUACCGCAUACGUCCUACGGGAGAAAGGGGGCUCCGGCUCCCGCUAUGGGAUGAGCCUAUGUCGGAUUAGCUAGUUGGUGAGGUAACGGCUCACCAAGGCCACGAUCCGUAGCUGGUCUGAGAGGAUGAUCAGCCACAUCGGGACUGAGACACGGCCCGAACUCCUACGGGAGGCAGCAGUGGGGAAUAUUGGACAAUGGGGGAAAGCCUGAUCCAGCCAUGCCGCGUGUGUGAAGAAGGCCCUCGGGUUGUAAAGCACUUUCAGCGAGGAAGAACGCCUAGCGGUUAAUACCCGCUAGGAAAGACAUCACUCGCAGAAGAAGCACCGGCUAACUCCGUGCCAGCAGCCGCGGUAAUACGGAGGGUGCAAGCGUUAAUCGGAAUUACUGGGCGUAAAGCGCGCGUAGGUGGCUUGAUAAGCCGGUUGUGAAAGCCCCGGGCUCAACCUGGGAACGGCAUCCGGAACUGUCAAGCUAGAGUGCAGGAGAGGAAGGUAGAAUUCCCGGUGUAGCGGUGAAAUGCGUAGAGAUCGGGAGGAAUACCAGUGGCGAAGGCGGCCUUCUGGACUGACACUGACACUGAGGUGCGAAAGCGUGGGUAGCAAACAGGAUUAGAUACCCUGGUAGUCCACGCCGUAAACGAUGUCGACCAGCCGUUGGGUGCCUAGCGCACUUUGUGGCGA
This 800-nucleotide ribosomal RNA is filed under the name Halomonas sp. RNAcentral's name for it is "bacterial SSU rRNA". It matches the Rfam family "Bacterial small subunit ribosomal RNA", at positions 53 to 849 of the family's 1533-position model. The record is from RNAcentral. Lineage: Bacteria; Pseudomonadati; Pseudomonadota; Gammaproteobacteria; Oceanospirillales; Halomonadaceae.